ACCGAUAACCAAGUGUGUUAGAGCAGUCAGAGCAAGAACCAGUGCACUGACAGCCAAGUGUGUUAGAGCAGUCACAGUCUCAUCCCACAGCCGGAAGCCCCAGGCACCGGCCCACACCAGCUUUCCUACCACCCAGGACACUCUUUCCCACCCACCAUAGAUUUUUCUAAAGUCUCAGUGCUUUUUUUUCUUAAAUAUUUACCUCUAACUAAAUCAUUACAUGCAUUUCCUGUGAGUUGUCUCAAAUUCUCCUCAGAACAAGAUGAGGAAUACAUUAAUAUUUAAAAUAAAAUGAAGCACGCGUGUGUG
Molecule: long non-coding RNA, 309 nt
Organism: Rattus rattus (black rat)
Lineage: Eukaryota; Metazoa; Chordata; Mammalia; Rodentia; Muridae
Exons: 2
Source: RefSeq, a predicted model, not a curated record